This is an RNA transcript of Malus domestica (apple), 2150 nucleotides long. It is a transcript of the gene named haloacid dehalogenase-like hydrolase domain-containing protein Sgpp, with no coding region annotated. The record is from RefSeq and is a predicted model, not a curated record. Lineage: Eukaryota; Viridiplantae; Streptophyta; Magnoliopsida; Rosales; Rosaceae.
CUCUCCUUCUCUCUUCUCCACUAUGCUAUAUAUAUAUAUAUAUAUAUAAGUAUUUUUGUUUCUGUUUUUCCUCCCUCGGGCGAUCCGGCCCUGUUCCACCCACGGUCCCUCCAGCAAUUCAUCCCGCUGGAGUUGCUCUAAGCUUUCCAGUUUCCAUUUACUCACCAGGAACUGUGCGAAACAAGUGUAUUCGGGUGGAUUUGACACAGCUCAUGCUGCGGCUAGGCGGUUGCUACUUUAGGGACUUAUGACAGCAUUAGAGAUGGGAAAGAAGGUGAUAUGUCAAGGUUAUCCAUCUCGUUUUGAUGGAGAGCGUAGAUUCGGUGUUGACACGGAUGGGUAUUAUGGAGGACCCUGUGCGCUCAGUGGUGACUUUGGCGAUAAAGAUGGAGCUCCUGCUGAUUUCAAGCCUUCUUUCGGGGAACAAAAUCUUUGAUCACUAGAAGCGGAGUUGAAUUAAAGACUGUUCUGUUCAGUGAUAUGUUCUGAUCCUAAACUCGAUUCACACCGUUUCAAUGAUAUUCUUAAUGAGGCAAUAACUGCAGGUGAUGAGAUUCACUAUGAAUGUUAAACCAGAUGGCCCUUUUAGUCAGUUCCUUAGAGUUAAGAGAUGCCUCAUUUUGAAGAAGCUGAGAUCCCCAGGCUUAAGGAAGUGAAUCAGGCCUUACUCACAAGCAAUAAAAGGACAUGAUAUGCUAGUGGAACCAGCAAAAGUUCACUCUCUGGAGUUGCUCCACUUGAAGCAGUAAUAUUUGAUAUUGAUGGAACGCUGUGUGAUUCGGAUCCAAUUCAUUACUAUGCCUUCCGUGAAAUGCUACAAGAGAUAGGUUUCAACGGAGGUGUUCCGAUUACUGAGGAGUACUAUAUUGAGAAUUUCGCUGGGAAGCAUAAUGAUGAUGUUGCCAGGAUACUCUUUCCUGAUGACUUCGAAAGAGGCUUAAAGUUCACAGAAGACAAGGAAGCCAUGUUUCGCAGAUUGGCUGUAUAUAAAUUGAAGCCCGUGAAUGGUCUCUAUAAAGUGAAGAAAUGGAUUGAAGAUCGUGGGUUGAAAUGGAGAAAAUCCAUGACCUCAUUGGAACUCAUACUGUUCCCGCACCUGAUAUGGGCACCAAUGCUCAGACCAUGCUUAAAUAUCUAUUUUUAGACGUUCAAUUUCUCCAUUUAUUAUCCAGUACUUUUACAAAUUUUAAAUCUAGGAUUUUUUUUCACUUAGUUAUUUGAUGGUUUGAAAUUUAUGAAUACAGGUUUGUGUUUUUUUGUCCAAAUACUAUUUCAAAGCUGAAGGAAACAUUGUUCAUGAAUAGCACAUUGUCUACAAAGACGACAUAGAAGACAUUUUACUUCAUGUGAAAAAGAAAGGCACUGCGUUUGCUUAUGGGCAGACCAGUAGUGGGAAGACUUUUACCAUGAACGGUUCCGAAACAGACCGGGUAUCAUUUAUUGAGCCGUUAGAGAUGUUUUUGACAGAACUCAGAUGAGGAGACAUUGUUGGCGAUAUCAAAGCUUCUCAAGGAAUUGACCGAGGAGGACAUGAAAGUACAGAUUUGGAUUUCAUCAGCACGACCAAGAUCAUGAGCAUUUUGAUUGUCUGCAGCUCUCAGUUCUUGGUCUCCACAAUGGUUCAGGUUGUCGGCAUUAUUCCUUCCUUGCACGCAGCUACUAAAAUUUCCGGUAGUGCCCAAGGUAUAGUGACAGUUGCCAGUAGAUGGCAUGCGUUAAUGACAUGUAGUUCUAAUGAUUCACCGCAUAACAGAAGUUCAGACAGUUUGGUGAACUUUGAGGCUGCCAACAGAUUGAGCUCACUGCAUACAUGUUACUCUGAGAGUGAUUUGGAGUCAACGGAUUAUGUUCAUGUGCCUACAAAUUCCCAGAUGGCUUCACAUAUGGCUUCAUACCACAAGAGACAAGCUUUUGGUAUGCAUCAGCUUAUGCUGUUUCAGUUUUACCCGUUCAUAUUAAACCUUAAAUUUCAAGCAUUCUGUUUACCAUUUUUGUGUUUGUAAAGAUGGCUCUUUUGGUCGUCAUUUAUGGUUUUCGUUUGUUCAUUUCCCGUGGUUCAGUCUUACUGGUUGUUGAUUGUGGCUCAUACUCUAUUUAUAUUUCUCUGUAAACUGCUAAUUUUGGAAUAUACUAUCGUUUCCUUGCUAGUA